GAUGAACGCUGGCGGCAUGCCUAACACAUGCAAGUCGAGCGACCGCACGAUGAGCUCUCGCCUCUACCGUUGGCGGCGGGCGGGUGAGUAAGACGUGCAUAACCUACCUAUUAGACUGGGGUAACUACGUGGAACCGGAUCUACUACCCGCGCAUAUGUCGAACCGGUGGGAUCAUUAGUGCAUGAGGCUUUUGUUGUCACUUAUAGAUGGUUCCGCGCCGCAUUAGCUAGUUGGUAAGGUAAAGGCCUACUAAGGCUACGAUGCGUAGCUGACCUGAGAGGAUGAUCAGCCACACUGGAACUGAGACACGGUCCAGACUCCUACGGGAGGCAGCAGUGGGGAAUAUUCGACAAUGGGCGAAAGCCUGACCCAGCCAUGCCGCGUGGGUGAAGAAGGUCUUCGGAUUGUAAAGCUCUGUUAUUAGGGAAGAACAGCAGUAGGUGAAUACAUGGCUGUUUUGACGGUACCUAAAGAAUAAGCACCGGCUAACUUCGUG
RNAcentral lists this ribosomal RNA (497 nucleotides) under uncultured bacterium. RNAcentral's name for it is "partial 16S ribosomal RNA". It matches the Rfam family "Bacterial small subunit ribosomal RNA", at positions 28 to 507 of the family's 1533-position model. The record is from RNAcentral.